This 269-nucleotide unclassified non-coding RNA is filed under the name Archaeorhizomycetes sp. RNAcentral's name for it is "partial contains 5.8S ribosomal RNA, internal transcribed spacer 2, and large subunit ribosomal RNA". The stretch from base 1 to 67 matches the Rfam family "5.8S ribosomal RNA", at positions 84 to 154 of the family's 154-position model. The record is from RNAcentral. Lineage: Eukaryota; Fungi; Ascomycota; Archaeorhizomycetes.
GUGAGUCAUCGAAUCUUUGAACGCACAUUGCGCCUCUCGUGAGGGAGGCAUGCCUGUCUGAGCGUCGUUUAAACCCCUAGGCCCCCAUCCUUCUGGCUGGGUGACCUGUCUUGGGCCCUCGCCGCACGGCGUCGCCUGAAUGUCAUUGGUCUCAUCCGUGGACGAGUCCCUGUAGGGCGGGCCAUGGCUGGACCUUAAGCAACCUCUGAAUUUGACCUCAGAUCAGGUAGGAACACCGCCUGAACUUAAGCAUAUCAAUAAGCGGAGGA